This 800-nucleotide ribosomal RNA is filed under the name uncultured Planctomycetia bacterium. Its description in RNAcentral is "bacterial SSU rRNA". It matches the Rfam family "Bacterial small subunit ribosomal RNA", at positions 119 to 926 of the family's 1533-position model. Lineage: Bacteria; Pseudomonadati; Planctomycetota; Planctomycetia. The record is from RNAcentral.
CGGCAACCAACCCCAAGGUUGGGCAUAGCCGCGGGAAACUGCGGGUAAUUCCCAGCGAUGUUCGUACCGGGCAUCCGGUGUGAACCAAAGUUCUGGCGCCGUGGGACGGGCCGUCGUGGUAUUAGGUAGUUGGCGGGGUAAUGGCCCACCAAGCCUCUGAUGCCUACCGGGCGUGCGAGCGUGGCCCGGCACACUGGGACUGAGACACUGCCCAGACUCCUACGGGAGGCUGCAGUCGAGAAUCUUCGGCAAUGGGCGCAAGCCUGACCGAGCGACGCCGCGUGGAGGAUGAAGGCCUUCGGGUUGUAAACUCCCUGUCGAGGGGGAGGAAGGGGUAACCUUGACCUAUCCCUGGAGGAAGCACGGGCUAAGUUCGUGCCAGCAGCCGCGGUAAGACGAACCGUGCGAACGUUAUUCGGAAUCACUGGGCUUAAAGCGCGUGUAGGCGGAUGGGGACGUCGGUAGCUGAAAUCCCCCGGCUCAACCGGGGAAGUGACGCCGAAACGCCCCGUCUGGAGGGACGUAGGGGGACCUGGAACUUCCGGUGGAGCGGUGAAAUGCGUUGAGAUCGGAAGGAACGCCCGUGGCGGAAGCGAGGUCCUGGACGUUUUCUGACGCUGAGACGCGAAAGCUAGGGUAGCGAACGGGAUUAGAUACCCCGGUAGUCCUAGCUGUAAACGAUGGGCACUGGGGUAGGGGGCUCGCCGAUGGGCUCUCUGCCGAAGGGAAACCGUGAAGUGCCCCGCCUGGGGAAUAUGGUCGCAAGGCUGAAACUCAAAGGAAUUGACGGGGGCUCACAC